GAUGAACGCUAGCGGCAGGCCUAACACAUGCAAGUCGAGGGAGAAGCCCUUUCGGGGGUAGAAACCGGCGCACGGGUGAGUAACGCGUAUGCAACCUACCUUUCACAGGGGGAUAGCCCGAAGAAAUUUGGAUUAAUACCCCAUAAUAUUAUUGGAUGGCAUCAUUUGAUAAUUAAAACUGCGGUGGUGAAAGAUGGGCAUGCGUCCUAUUAUCUAGUUGGAGUGGUAACGGCACCCCAAGGCUACGAUAGGUAGGGGUCCUGAGAGGGAGAUCCCCCACAAUGGUACUGAGACAGGGAACAGACACCUACGGGAGGCAGCAGUGAGGAAUAUUGGUCAAUGAACGGAAGACUGAACCAGCCAUGCCGCGUGCAGGAAGAAUGCCUUAUGGAUUGAAAACUGCUAUUAUCUGGGAAGAAUAAAGCGUACGUGUACGUAGAUGACAGUACCAUAUGAAUAAGCAUCGGCUAACUCCGUG
This 478-nucleotide ribosomal RNA is filed under the name uncultured bacterium. RNAcentral's name for it is "partial 16S ribosomal RNA". It matches the Rfam family "Bacterial small subunit ribosomal RNA", at positions 28 to 507 of the family's 1533-position model. The record is from RNAcentral.